This 460-nucleotide ribosomal RNA is filed under the name uncultured bacterium. RNAcentral's name for it is "partial 16S ribosomal RNA". It matches the Rfam family "Bacterial small subunit ribosomal RNA", at positions 338 to 795 of the family's 1533-position model. The record is from RNAcentral.
CCUACGGGUGGCAGCAGUGAGGAAUAUUGGUCAAUGGGCGAGAGUCUGAACCAGCCAAGUAGCGUGAAGGAUGACUGCCCUACGGGUUGUAAACUUCUUUUAUAAAGGAAUAAAGUGAGGCACGUGUGCCCUUUUGUAUGUACCCUAUGAAUAAGGAUCGGCUAACUCCGUGCCAGCAGCCGCGGUAAUACGGAGGAUCCGAGCGUUAUCCGGAUUUAUUGGGUUUAAAGGGAGCGUAGAUGGGUUGUUAAGUCAGUUGUGAAAGUUUGCGGCUCAACCGUAAAAUUGCAAUUGAUACUGGCAGGCUUGAGUACAGUAGAGGUAGGCGGAAUUCGUGGUGUAGCGGUGAAAUGCUUAGAUAUCACGAAGAACUCCGAUUGCGAAGGCAGCUUACUGGACUGCAACUGACACUGAUGCUCGAAAGUGUGGGUAUCAAACAGGAUUAGAUACCCCAGUAGUC